RNAcentral lists this long non-coding RNA (334 nucleotides) under Lathyrus oleraceus (garden pea). Its description in RNAcentral is "Pisum sativum (pea) long non-coding RNA (PSAT_LNC027515)". The record is from RNAcentral. Lineage: Eukaryota; Viridiplantae; Streptophyta; Magnoliopsida; Fabales; Fabaceae.
UCACAUUACAUUUUCUCUUUUGAUAAUGAUUAGUCUGGACUACGGGUGAUCCAUGGAGUAUUAUCACCGGGCAUGUUGGAGAGAUCAUGUGUCAAACGCCAUGGAGUUGCAAUGGGGAUUCAUAGCAUUUGUUUAGCAUUUUGUAUAGUUUUUUGGAAAAAAAAAACAAAGUUUGCAUGGGAGGGAACUUGUUUUUUUCCCUUCAUUAAUUAUAUUGGAUAUACAUAACAAUGUAAACAUACCUUUUUUUUUUUGUUACUGUAGUAUUGAGGAUUAAUAAAUAUUUCUUAUAUUGCUUGUACAAAGGUAAGGUUUUAAUGCAUCUUAUUUAAUU